This 567-nucleotide ribosomal RNA is filed under the name Triticum aestivum (bread wheat). Its description in RNAcentral is "partial small subunit ribosomal RNA". Lineage: Eukaryota; Viridiplantae; Streptophyta; Magnoliopsida; Poales; Poaceae. The record is from RNAcentral.
AUGGCAGAGGAACCAUCCGCCAAGCGUCAUCAUGCCGAGAAGUCGAACAAGAGCAGCAACCUCGUCGACAUUCACGUCCCCGGUGAGAAGCGUGAGUACACAACAAUCCUCAAAGGGGUUGAGCUCCAUGGCAAUGAGACGCUGGAGAUCUUCUGCACCAGCGUACCAGAAAAGGCCGACGAGGUGAUGACCAGGCUCUGGAAGAAGCUUGGCGACAAGAGUCCGAGUCGUAGGAUCAUCGACAUUGUUGUGCACUACACCAACGAAGAUGAACCUCCCCAGAUGGCAGUAGUCCUGCAGUUGUGCAUCGAGGAGCUCUGCUUGGUGUACCACAUCGCCGCGGCCACAAAAUGGCCCAAGCGCCUGACCAAGAUGCUGCAGCAUGAGAAGUUGGUCACAUUUGCCGGUUUCAGCAUUGAAAGCGACAAAGAGAAGCUGAAGUUGUCCGGUAUGGAGAUCAACCCCAACAAGUUCAUCGACAUUCAGCGCAAGUGGAGAGUUCCAUACACCAAAAAAGAGUAUGACUCCUUGACUGAUGUUGCAGCCAGCGUCAUCCACCCAUUCUAA